GACGUAAUCGUCCGAGGUGGUUUCAAUAGGCUUUUCCAUUAUUGUGACGUCGCCGAAGACCCAUCUGCUGGCCACGGCCCGCUAGCUCCAGCUCGCCUAGCGUAGUAGCGACUACUGAACGGCUCCCUGACUCACCUAUUGCUUCUCAUUGGACCCUAUGAUCACUCGGCUACACAUGCCUCUACCUAAUAACCCAGAAGCAGACCAGGACAAGGUGAGUAAAAUAAAGGUGAGUAUUUAUUGGUAGUCUUGAUGUGUAAUUUGAGUGAUCCAGGAGACGGAGCGGCAGCGGAGGUGAGUUGAUGAGAGUAAAUGGGUUGAUCCAAUGAAGUCACUGUAUCCACCGACAGCCAGGCAAGAGAGUUGAAUGUUCCGGGAGAAUGACUGUAGACAGAGUAAACGGGAGGAAUGGAUGUCAGCUCAGGGUUUAAGAAGAGGUGAAGAUCAGGACCAGGUGUGCAGAAGUUUGAUGAGAUGCAGGGUUAUGCUCCAGACAACAGCGUCAUUCAGGAGGCUCAGAGACUCUCCAAACAGCAUGGGACCCAGUUGCUCCUGACCUCUGACCCAGUGGAGGCAGCUCGGGGCAGUAACGUCCUGGUGACAGACACCUGGGUCAGCUUGGGCCAGGAGGAGAAGAAACAGAGGAUCAAGGACUUCCAUGGCUACCACAUCACCAUGCAGUUACAUACAACACUAGACUCACUACAGGAACAAGAUCAUCCACAUGUAUAGAUCACAUUUUUACUAAUACUGUAGAACUUUGUUCUAAAGCUGUAUCCGUACCCAUUGGACGUAAUGAUCACAAUAUAGUGGUAAUAUCCAGGAAUGCCAAAAUUCCAACAGCUGGGCCUAAAAUAGCAUGUAAGAGAUCAUACAAAAGACUUUGCUGUGAUUUUUAUGUGGAUGAUGUUACAAAUAUUUGUUGGUCUGAUGUGAUUAAUGAGGAGCAUCCAGACGCUGCACUUAUGAAAUUGCAUCUUCCAAUUAUUGAUGCCAUGCACCUGUUAAGAAACUGACUGUUACGAACUGUUAAGGCUCCAUUGAUUGAUGAGGAAUUGAAAAACUGUAUGGUUGAAAGAGAUGGAGCAAAAGGAGUGGCUAAUAAGUCUGGUUACACAUCUGACUUACUGCAAAUUGAGACAUCAUGUGGCUAAACUCAUUAAAAAGAAGAAGAAACUGUUAUGAAGCCAAGAUAAAUGAUAAAAAGAAUGAUAGGAAAAAACUUGAGUACUUUAAAUGAAAUUAUGGGCAGAAAGACAUAUUCAACUCCAUCUUUCAUUGAAUCAGAUGGCUUAUUCAUCACAAAACCAUUUGAUGUUGACAAUUAUUUUAAUGAUUACUUCUUUGGCAAAGUGGGAAAACUUAGGCAGGAAAUACCAACAGCGAACAGUGAGCCAUCGUAUUCAAGCAUAAAAAAAACUAAUAAUGAAAGAAAAGCAUUGCAAGUUUGAAUUUUGUAAAGUUAGUGUGGGAGUGGUGGAAAAAUUGUUAUUGAUACAUAAUGACAAACCUCCUGGCAUUGACAACUUUGAUGGAAAACCCUAACCCUAACCCUAUAGCCACUUCUAUCUGUCAUAUCUUUCAUCUGAGCCUAGAGGAAAGUCUUUGUCCUUAGGCCUGGAGGGAAGCCAAAGUAAUUCCACUACCCAAGAGUGGUAAACCGGCCUUUACUGGUUCUAACAGCAGACCUAUAAGUCUGCUGCCAGCUCUUAGUGUCACGUCCUGACCAGUAAUAGGGGUUAUUUGUUAUUGUAGUUUGGUCAGGACGUGGCAGAGGGUAUUUGUUUGUGGUUCGGGGUGGUGGUUUGUUUAGUAGGGUAUUUGAUUUAUGUAUUCCGGGGGUUUUUGGGCACUGUUCUAUGUUAGUGUAUUUCUAUGUUCUGUCUAGUCUUUUGUAUUUCUAUGUUUUGUUAAUUGGGGUUGGACUCUCAAUCGGAGGCAGGUGUUUUCUAGUUGCCUCUGAUUGAGAGUCCUUUAUAUAUAGGUAUGUGUUUGUUGAGUACUUUGUGGGAGAUUGUUCUGUGUAUAGCCUUGUGCCUUACCAGCCUGUGAUUAGUCGUUGUGGUUUCUUUGUGUACGUGUUUGUUUUGGUUCGCCAUCUUGUCCGUUUAUAAUAAAGAAGAUGAGUGCACAUUUCCCCGCUGCAUUGUGGUCUAUAUCCGACGACAACCGUUACAGAAUCUCCCACCACAAAAAGACCAAGCAGCGGAGUAAGGAGCAAAGGGAAUUUGAUAUGGACCUGGGAGGAAAUUCUGGACGGGGCUGGACCUUGGCACCAGGCUGGGGAAUACCGUCGCCCACGGGAGGAAAUCGAGGCAGCCAAGGCGGAGAGGCGGAGGUACGAGGCCUUGUACGCGCUGAGGGAGAAGCACGAGAGGCACCCCCAAUAAUUUCUUUGGGGAGGGGCACACGGGUAGUUUGACUGGGCCAAGGAUGAGCCAUAAGCCAGCUACCUGUGUUUAUAUGGAGGACCGUAUGGAAUGGAUGGCGCCGAGUUUUGAAGAAGUGCGCACGAUCUCACCCAUACGCACGCACAGUCCAGUGCGAGUUAUUAGCCCCUCGCAGAUGCCGUGCUAGAGUGGGCAUCCAGCCUGGUAGGAGGAUGCCUGCGCAGCGCGUCUGGUCACCGGUGCGCCUCCUAGGACCAGGCUACCCUACGCCCGCUCUACGCACGGCAACCAUCAGGCCCCUGCACAGCCCAGUUCGCCCUGUACUAGCACCCCGCUCGUACAGGGCUACUAGUUCCGUCCUGGCUGGAUGGGUUGUGCAGGAGGUGUGAUCAAGACCGCCUGUGCGCCUCCAUGGCCCAUAUUUCCAGUUUCUGCCUCUCGUGCUGACCCGGAAAUGCGAACUCCUAGUCUGGCACGUCCAGUACCAGCACCACGCAUCAAGCUUCCAGAGAAUCAGCCUAGUCCUACUCAGCCUGUUCCCGCUCCUCGCACUAGCCAUGAGGUGCGUGUUCCCAAACUGGCACUUCCAGC
This 2981-nucleotide long non-coding RNA is filed under the name Salmo salar (Atlantic salmon). RNAcentral's name for it is "lncRNA (ENSSSAG00000083731.1)". The record is from RNAcentral. Lineage: Eukaryota; Metazoa; Chordata; Actinopteri; Salmoniformes; Salmonidae.